UCCAGACUCCUACGGGAGGCAGCAGUGGGGGAUAUUGCACAAUGGGGGGAACCCUGAUGCAGCGACGCCGCGUGGGUGAAGAAGCGCCUCGGCGCGUAAAGCCCUGUCAGCAGGGAAGAAAAUGACGGUACCUGACUAAGAAGCUCCGGCUAAAUACGUGCCAGCAGCCGCGGUAAUACGUAUGGAGCAAGCGUUAUCCGGAAUUACUGGGUGUAAAGGGAGCGUAGGCGGCAAGGCAAGUCUGAUGUGAAAACCCAGGGCCCAACCCUGGGACUGCAUUGGAAACUGUAUUGCUUGAGUACCGGAGAGGCAGGCGGAAUUCCUAGUGUAGCGGUGAAAUGCGUAGAUAUUAGGAGGAACACCAGUGGCGAAGGCGGCCUGCUGGACGGUAACUGACGCUGAGGCUCGAAAGCGUGGGGAGCAAACAGGAUUAGAUACCCCCGUAA
RNAcentral lists this ribosomal RNA (446 nucleotides) under uncultured bacterium. RNAcentral describes it as "partial 16S ribosomal RNA". It matches the Rfam family "Bacterial small subunit ribosomal RNA", at positions 330 to 793 of the family's 1533-position model. The record is from RNAcentral.